This 491-nucleotide ribosomal RNA is filed under the name uncultured bacterium. RNAcentral describes it as "partial 16S ribosomal RNA". It matches the Rfam family "Bacterial small subunit ribosomal RNA", at positions 29 to 506 of the family's 1533-position model. The record is from RNAcentral.
AGUGAACGCUGGCGGUAGGCCUAACACAUGCAAGUCGAACGGCAGCACAGUAAGAGCUUGCUCUUACGGGUGGCGAGUGGCGGACGGGUGAGGAAUACAUCGGAAUCUACUUUUUCGUGGGGGAUAACGUAGGGAAACUUACGCUAAUACCGCUUACGACCUACGGGUGAAAGCAGGGGAUCUUCGGACCUUGCGCGAUUGAAUGAGCCGAUGUCGGAUUAGCUAGUUGGCGGGGUAAGGGCCCACCAAGGCGACGAUCCGUAGCUGGUCUGAGAGGAUGAUCAGCCACACUGGAACUGAGACACGGUCCAGACUCCUACGGGAGGCAGCAGUGGGGAAUAUUGGACAAUGGGCGCAAGCCUGAUCCAGCCAUACCGCGUGGGUGAAGAAGGCCUUCGGGUUGUAAAGCCCUUUUGUUGGGAAAGAAAAGCAGCAGGUUAAUACCCCGCUGUUCGGACGGUACCCAAAGAAUAAGCACCGGCGAACUUCGU